Long non-coding RNA from Mus musculus (house mouse), 6789 nucleotides. RefSeq annotates it as predicted gene, 41466. The transcript is spliced from 2 exons. NCBI's taxonomy places the organism in Eukaryota, Metazoa, Chordata, Mammalia, Rodentia, Muridae. The record is from RefSeq and is a predicted model, not a curated record.
AAGAGAGAGAAAGAGAGAGAUAGACAGACAGACAGACAGACAGACAGACACAUAGACAGAGAGUCAGAGAGAGAAUUAAUGUCAAAUGUCUUACUUUAUUCGGCUCAGUGUUAUUUUUGAGACAGGGUCUCUCACUGAAUCUGAAGCUCCAUUUUAGUCAUAUCCUGUUCUACUGUUGUUUUGAGAGAAGGUCCCACUAUGAAUCGUGCAUCAGUUUGCAAGUCACUGUCUAGCCCAGUUUGCUCUUGAGCUCACAAUCUCCUUGCUUCAUCUUCCAGAGAUAUGACUGGUAUUUGGCACUAUGCCUGCAUAAAUUUUUUUCCUUAAUCUUUCACCUUUUUCAAUACAAUAUAGAUAGGAUCAUUUUGUGUUUGUAACUGCUUAUUACGGAAACAAUUGUCAAAAAAUGAGAACCUUUGUAUAAAAUACAACAUUUAAUAAGUGAACUUGAAACAACCUAGAAUAUCUUAUUAACUAAGUAACUCUUCUAAAAAGGGGUGCAUCUCAUUGUAAUGCUUAGAUUAACUAAAAUAAGAGUUUAACCUUUAGAGGAAAACAGUAAGAUUAAACUACGUUAGCAUAAGGAAUCAUUGCAAAUCAUUCUUUAUUAAUUGAAAGCAGUGGAUGAAGAGAUGAGGAAGGGAGGUAAAUUUGGUUUUCACUCAUAGGAUCAUUUGACAAUAUUUGUAGAUGCUGCCAUUUUGGAAGUGAGAGGCAGUAGUACUGACAUAUGUGGAAGAAGCCAGGAGUCCUACAGUACAUCUUGCAAUGAACAUGGUAGCCCUCAUAACAAAGAAUGACAGCUCCAAAGUUAGGAAGUCCAUGCCUAGGGGAUUAGUGGUGACAUUCCCUCUAGAGAUAUAUGUGGUUACUAAAGAGAUGAGAGAGAGUACACCAGCCUUUCCUUACUUUCAACUGCACUACAGUCACAAACUCCAAAUGUUCUGAAAUGUAAAAUUUAAAAAGCAAAUAACCCAUUUUAAACUUGAAAUUACUUUUUUUGUGGUAUGUGUGUAUCAUCAGAGCUCUCUAAAGUUUGUUUAAAAAUUUCUGGGAGAGCAUCCAUAUGUAGUUAAUUACUUUAUGUAUUUCAUUUUGGUUUCUUGCCUUUCAUUCUACCAAAGAUUUACUCAUGCUAAAACUUUGACAUUAACCUCUAUCAUCAUUAACAAAAAUGUUGUUUAAUACAGAGAAGAUUGGGGCUUGAUAAAAGGCUCAAGUGGUUAAGAAGGCAUGUUAUUCUCCUCGUGAAUCCAAGUUAGAGUCCUGGUACCUAAGUCAGAAGCACACAAUUGCCUGAGACUCUAGCUCUAGGGGAUCUAAUGCCUCUUGCCUCUACCUCUAGUGACACGUGUAGCACACAUUCACACACACACACACACACACACACACACACUCACACACACACACAUACACACACAUACACACACAUACAGAGACUUACACACCCCUUUAAAAACAAAAUAAAUCUUUAAACAAACAAAAACAUGUCAUCUAAAUUAUUAGAUUUGAAAUAAGUUUUUCAAGGACCUAUACGGGGACAUAACAAAGCUUAAUCUACACAUAAAAUUCAUAAAGCUAGUUAUGAAGUUGAAUUUUGGAAUUACUUGCAAGGUUAUAAAUUAUAAUCCACUUUUCAAUGGAAUUUUUGCUUGACAUAUUGCCUUGACAGUAUAUCUAUUUAGUUUUAUAAACUAGAUACAAGCAAUUACCUUUCCUAGACCUUUAGUCCAUGAACUAUAAUAUUUGAAUCCUGGGUUUGAAUCAUAGCUAGAACCUUCAAAAAGUGAUUCCAUAGUUUUAUAAGUCUUUCCAUAUAAGACACAUUGACACACACAUAUGAAUAUAUAUUUACAUAUGUAUAUAUUUAUGUACAUAUAUUUUACAAGCUCCAAAGCUUUCCCUAUACCUGUAAAUCCAUAGUUAAAAGUGACUGAGGUAAAAGUCAGUCUAGUCAGCAAACAUGCUUAGUUACUGUAUCAAAAUAGAGGAAAACUUCCAGGCAAGUGAAGCUCAUGUUUUCUCUUAGUUUUGACUUUAUGUGCUGAUAAUCAGGAAGAAACCAGGACCUGUGCCUGAAAGCAGCUAGCAUGUGUAGAGUGUGCACUGCCAGGGUCUAGGCAGAUAGAAAGAGCAUACUCUAGAAACAAGUGGGGUAUGGUUUGCAGCAAUGAAGAACUAUCAAUACUGGUAACUGCAGAAUGAAGAUUUUCUUAGAUUUUUAUCAGUGACGUGGUGAUAGUGUCAAUCCACUUAAAUAAACGGAUCUUUGGCAAAUAGUCCUGUCUGUUGACCACCUGAUAUCUAUUCCCUGAUUUUUUCUGCCCUGUAGAGCAUAGUUGUUACAGAGCUUUCCCACUCUCACAUGCUACAAGAAACUGGCCACUCCCUCCAUAGGUUCAUGAUAACCUAUCUGAGAGCUUUUAUGGAGAUUAUAAUCAUCUUGAUAGGCUGAUUUAAAGAGGAAGAAUUAAGGCCAAUGACAUUGGAGGAGCUAACUCUGUUUAGGCUCUCUAUAAAGCCAGGGAACAGCUUUAGAGUCAAAAGAGAUUCCCAUAACCAGUCUGAAAACUAACAUCCUUGACCCACUGAAUUUCAAGGAGAUAUCUCUGUGUAGGUUGUUUUCUUAGUAUAUCUCCUACUUUCAAAUCAAAGGCUUUCUAGCAGCAGAGAUACCGUUAUCUCUCAUCAGUCAUCCUGGUGUCCAUAAUCUUUGUUUAAUCUCAGUUUGCUGUAUCUUCCUUAGUUACAAUACUUCUUUACUGGAAGAUAUACUUAAUUAAACACUUUAAGCCUAUGUAUUGCAAGACAAUCGGGAACAAAACUAGAUAAAGUUGGCCUUAUAUUGCAGUUUAUAAUGAUUAUUGUCUAGUGAUUAAAUACUCAGAAUGCUGCAAAUAAUUUCCUUUUGGCAAAAGAAAUGGACAUGGUUAAAUUUAAAGAAGAGAUUGUAAAGAAUAAAAAACAAGUAUGCAUAAGACAAGCAAUUGUUCUCCUGCCUCCCCAGACAGGGAAAUUGGGUUUUAUUCGCAGAAUUAUGGUAUCUGUGAAGUUGUGAAUUCAGAGUAACUAAAAGUCUCCUGGAUUUCUUACUUUCACAUUGUGUAUGAGGUUUGAAAUACAGAAAAAAAAUAUUUUGACAAUGGAGUGUCAGUAGAAACCACCUGGGAGUUGCCUUUGUGAGUCACAGUUCAAGAGUUGAUCAUAUUUGUGACACAUCUGAUGCGGGAUUGUAGGUCACUUGGAAGACGUCUGUGCGGCCUCCUCUUUAGACCUGUCACUUUUACCUCGUGUGCUGAUCAAAUUAAGACCAUGACAGAAUUUCAUAGCAUGAGAAGCUUUCUGUAAAAUAAAAGUCUCCUUGAAAUAAGGGAGACUAUAGACAAUGUUAGUAAUGAUCAAAGCUGCACUCUAGAAACAUUUAAUCUUUGAAAAUUAAAAUGUCCUAUUUUUAGUGCUUUAAGGAUAGAAUUAUUUCUUCCACCUAUUGCUAAAACUACAUUUCAACACAAAUCAUGCUCCCUGUAUUAAAUCCAUUUACAUCUGAGGAGACUGGAUUAGAAUUUUUAAGACAGACUUAUUUUAACAUGUAAUAUUUUGGUGGGUGUUUUUCUUCAUUGAUAUACAGAAUUAGGGUUUCACAUAAAGAAGACCUAUAGCUGAUUUGCAUGGCUUUUAUUUAAUCUCAUUUAAUAAAUAAUUUGUGUUGCAAGAGUCUUAUCUUGUACUCAUUAAUAAUAAUGUUAAAAACCCAAGUGAAUUCAAAUAAUUUCCCAAUCUUUUUUUAAUAUUUAAAUGUUUUUUAAACUCAUUGUGAUCAUUCCAUAGAGUUUUAAGUGGUUUAAAAAAUUAUAUCAGGGACAGAUAUUUGCUUCCUAUUUCCUCCCAUUGAUAAUUUUUGUCUUUAACAGCAGUAACUAUUUUGACUUCGAGCUUUGUCAUCAUGUGCAAAAGUUAAUGUUAUGAUCACAGAGAUGAGAACUUAACUAUAAACACACACAUACAAUCACACCACAGACUCCCUCUCCCUCUCCCUCUCCCUCUCUCUCUCUCUAUCCCUCUCUCUCCUAUAAUGAGUUAAAAAUGACAUGUGUGGGGCUCUGAGAUGUUUGCCAGGUAGUAACCCUGGUUGCCAAGCCUGGCAACCUGAGUUCAACCUUUGAAACUCAAGUAAUGUAAAUGGAGACCUGCCUCCUUUUCAUGCUGUUUUCUGGCCUUUCCUCAAGUAUUUUGGCACAUGCAAUUCACACACACACACACACACACACACACACACAAAAUAAAACAAAUAAAAUUAAAAUAUUAAUAUUGAUUUAUUAAAAUUUAAUUUAUUAAACUCUCCAACUUUGAUUUGUAGAAAUACAUGUAAGAACAUUGUAUUUAAUUAAAUGUGUAGCCUCACUACUUAAUAAUGAUAUUUUCCUUUGCUAUUUUAUAGAAGAUGUAUAUAGAAUAAUCAGUGUUUUCAAGUCUUUAGGUAUUCAUCUGCAUGUAUGAAAAAAUAUCCUACAAAUACAUUAUAUACAUUCAGAGAAUAGAGGCUUUAAUUCCAUUGUUAUACUGAAUUUUGAAAGAGAAUUUUGAAUAUUUAUAAAAACUGAAUCAUCUCCAAAUAUUAAGUAUUGAAAUAUUUUUUCUUUUUUAAAAUUUCAUGGAUUUUACCAUUAGGUUUAAUAAUCCCAGCUAUUAAUUUAUUUUGAAAUAUAUUAAAAGUAAUUAAAAUUUUCUUGUAGAAAAUUAACAUAAAAUACUUUUAAAAUAAAUCUAUGUCUCCAGUGGUGGCUACUGAAACUGAAAACAUUUAGAGCCAUGAUGUCUACAAAGCCUCUGAUGUUUGUAUAGCUCAUUACCACCCAUUGAUUUUCUACAACUAUCCAUGUUUUCAGUCAUGAUAUAGGUGCAUGAUCAAUAUAACAGCUGAAAUUCUACUGGUAAUUGCAGCAAUAUUUCCAUUCCAUGACAUAUAAGAGGAGAAGAGUCAACAAGACAUAAUAAACUAGAUUUUAUGAAGAAAAUACCAAGUAUAUCAUAAUAAUUAAGUUUUAUGCUUUAAUUUAAUGUUUUUCAUUUAUUUUGUCUCAUUAUCUUAUGGGUGCUCUGCCUAUGUAUGUCUGUAUAUUGCGCAUAUGCACUGCCUACGGAUGCCAGAAGGCACUGGAUCCUGUGGAGCUGGAGUAAAACAUGGUCCUGAGCUUUCAUGUGGGUGCUGGGAGUAAAAGCCAGGCGUUCUGCAAGAGCAGCCAGUGCCUUUAUCUGCUGAGCUAUUCCUCUAGCCUCUUAUGUUCCUCCAUAAUCUUUGUUGUAUUGAAAAUGGAUUUCUAUACAAUAUAUUCUGAUUAUGAUUUCUCCUUCCACAACUCCUACUAGAUUCUGUCCACCUACCCGAAUCCAUACCUCCCCUGAUCCCUCUAUCAUCAGAAUGCAAACAGACUGCAUGUUCAGGAACCACAAAUACAUCUGCCCUGGCAUCGUGGAAGAAAAGCAUGAGUGCUUCUCAAUAAGUUUAAUGGAAAGGAAAGCUGAUUCAUUAAAAUCUUCAUAAAUGAUUUUUAUUCUUAUAAUUAUUUGCGAUGGUCACUGAUCCAUAAAGUUAUUGUGGAACCCUUCCACCCACCCUGUCCAAAAUCCCAUUUAAGUGUUUUCAAAAUAGAGAAUAGACCUAGCAUAAUACUCUGUAAAUUUGCAUUCAGAAAUUAGAGUUAAUCAUCUGUAAUGUGUGUCAGUAUAAAAUGUGAAUUUAUUGUAUAAUCAUUUAAUUAAUUAGCAAAUGUUUCAAUAUGGAAGAGCAUAAGUGUCAUUCCCAAAAAUUUUAAGACAAUGUAACUGAAAAAAAGCCUAAUUGUCCAGAAUGAAGGUGCAGGAUUAAGCAGUGGAUGGUGAAAUGUGUCUAGCAUACAGGCAUUUCCGUUGUUUUGAUCUCUAUACUGGCAAAACAUAAACAAACAAACAAACUUAACAGUAAAAAAGGAAUAUUUACACUAUCUGGCAUUGUGUUUAGAAAAAUAUUCAUUGACUUCCAUAGGACUUCUAUAUAGUUUGAAAAGAACACUGUUUCUGUUUUGUGUUCUGUACUUGGUGUGUGCUUUUGUUUCACUUUGUUUAUAGAAGUGAUAGUGUUACAGGCAUGCACCACUCUACCCAGUCCCAUUAUUGUUUACAAUUUUUCCUACAGGUCAUCACCCGGAUUCAACUCUUGCCAUGGCCUCCUGACCCUCUCCAAAUUUACUAACUUUAUUAUCCUUACACACACUCACACUCACACACACACACAAACACACACACACACACACACACACACACACAGAGAGAGAGAGAGACAGUAUGUUUUUUGUUAGCUAACUUCUCUUGAGCAUGAGUUCUGCCCUUGAUUGUGAUUAAUACACAUAGUGUGACUCCACUGAAGAAAAACGAUUUUCCCACUCCGAGGUGGCGUCAAUUGCAAAUAGCUUCUUGGAUAGGGGUGAGAAUUCAUGUCCACGUCCUCUUUUCUUGUUGGAAUGUUUGUCUUUUUGAGUUUAUGGAGGUUUUGUGUGUACUGUCACAAUCUCUGUGAGUUCAUAUGUUGCAUUUGGAACACACUCUGUCUUUGGAGCCACCUACUACCACUGGUUCUGAUAAUCCAUCUGCUGCUUCUUCUGUGUAAGAUCCUUGAAUCUUGAGGCUAGGGGGAAUGAUAACGACCACAUUAAAGAGCGAGUACACAAAAAUAUGUCAUUCUCAGCAGAUUGUUCAGUUAUGGGUCUCUCUGUUAAUUGUUAUCUAUUAAAUAAAGAUUUUUAUGAGGUUUGA